RNAcentral lists this small nuclear RNA (76 nucleotides) under Erinaceus europaeus (western European hedgehog). Its description in RNAcentral is "U2 spliceosomal RNA". Lineage: Eukaryota; Metazoa; Chordata; Mammalia; Eulipotyphla; Erinaceidae. The record is from Rfam by way of RNAcentral.
AUCACUUCUCGGCCUUUUGGCUAAGAUCAAGUGUAGUAUUCACCUUGGUAUUUUGUUAAGUCUUUAAAGAAACCAC